UGAGAUCUGACAAGGUUGCAAGUGCUGUGGGCCCAGCAAUAUGAAUAAAUGCUGGUUUUAUUCUGGUAUAUUUUGGAUGUAUACGUGAAUCUGUGAAUCAGGAAAUUUCAAGUUGGAGAAUGGAAAGCAUGGCUGGGAUCAUGAGUGGGAGCAGUAGCUGCAAGUGAACUCAACUUUGGAAAUCUCCCUUCGUGGGAAUUCACCCAGUCCAGGACUGGCUCAGAAGCAAACUGCGGGACACAUCUCAGGUGAUUAAAAAUGCCAAACAGAGAAGCAUGGUGCCUGUGCGAUUUUCUCAGCAAGGAUUUGUUACCAACUCCUUGAGCACGUUUAGCUAGAGGGGAUUCUGCUGACAUUUUUCUUUUCACUGUUUUCAUGAGUUUUGAAUAUUGAAACAGAUUUUGCUGGGGAUAAUGGAAAGCAGACUUGGGAAACACUUUUUUUAAAAGAAAAUCUAGAUCCAAUCUAGCUUUUGAUGUAGGGCUAACAAUAUGAAUAUGAUGAAGCAAGCAAGUGGGAUUAUACAAGUUAGUUUUGUUGACAGUAUCUAAAAACAUUUUCACUUCAAACCAUUUUCCUUGAAUAUAAUACUUGCCUUAAAAAGUCUAGCCUCUGCCAAAUAUUUCCCAAUAAAAAGUUGGCCCAUUAUUCACAUUAUGGUUGCAUUUUGAUUUUCUGGUCAUUGGAAGAAUGUUCC
RNAcentral lists this long non-coding RNA (697 nucleotides) under Homo sapiens (human). RNAcentral's name for it is "HSALNT0121644". Lineage: Eukaryota; Metazoa; Chordata; Mammalia; Primates; Hominidae. The record is from RNAcentral.